UAUAGAGGGUGCGAGCGUUGUCCGGAAUCACUGGGCGUAAAGGGCGCGUAGGUGGCGCUGCAAGUCGGUGGUGAAAGCUCGCCGCUUAACGGCGAGUCGGCCAUCGAAACUGCAGGGCUCGAGCACUGUAGGGGCUAAUGGAAUUCCGGGUGUAGCGGUGGAAUGCGUAGAGAUCCGGAAGAACACCAGUGGCGAAGGCGACUACCUGGCCUGUUCUUGACGCUGAGGCGCGAAAGCUAGGGGAGCAAACGGG
This 253-nucleotide ribosomal RNA is filed under the name uncultured bacterium. RNAcentral's name for it is "partial 16S ribosomal RNA". It matches the Rfam family "Bacterial small subunit ribosomal RNA", at positions 524 to 776 of the family's 1533-position model. The record is from RNAcentral.